UAAAAAAAGGUAAGCUACUAAGAGCGAAUGGUGGAUGCCUUGACUGGUAAAGGCGAUGAAGGACGUACUAGACUGCGAUAAGCUACGGGGAGCUGUCAAGAAGCUUUGAUCCGUAGAUUUCCGAAUGGGGCAACCCAAUGUAUAGAGAUAUACAUUACCUAUAUAGGAGCGAACGAGGGGAAUUGAAACAUCUUAGUACCCUCAGGAAAAGAAAUCAAUAGAGAUUGCGUCAGUAGCGGCGAGCGAAAGCGCAAGAGGGCAAACCCAGUGCUUGCACUGGGGGUUGUAGGACUGCAAUGUGCAAGAGCUGAGUUUAGCAGAACAUUCUGGAAAGUAUAGCCAUAGAGGGUGAUAGUCCCGUAUGCGAAAAACAAAGCUUAGCUAGCAGUAUCCUGAGUAGGGCGGGACACGAGGAAUCCUGUCUGAAUCCGGGUCGACCACGAUCCAACCCUAAAUACUAAUACCAGAUCGAUAGUGCACAAGUACCGUGAGGGAAAGGUGAAAAGAACUGAGGUGAUCAGAGUGAAAUAGAACCUGAAACCAUUUGCUUACAAUCAUUCAGAGCACUAUGUAGCAAUACAGUGUGAUGGACUGCCUUUUGCAUAAUGAGCCUGCGAGUUGUGGUGUCUGGCAAGGUUAAGCAAACGCGAAGCCGUAGCGAAAGCGAGUCUGAAUAGGGCGCUUAGUCAGAUGCUGCAGACCCGAAACGAAGUGAUCUAUCCAUGAGCAAGUUGAAGCUAGUGUAAGAACUAGUGGAGGACUGAACCCAUAGGCGUUGAAAAGCCCCGGGAUGACUUGUGGAUAGGGGUGAAAGGCCAAUCAAACUUCGUGAUAGCUGGUUCUCUCCGAAAUAUAUUUAGGUAUAGCGUUGUGUCGUAAUAUAAGGGGGUAGAGCACUGAAUGGGCUAGGGCAUACACCAAUGUACCAAACCCUAUCAAACUCCGAAUACCUUAUAUGUAAUCACAGCAGUCAGGCGGCGAGUGAUAAAAUCCGUCGUCAAGAGGGAAACAACCCAGACUACCAGCUAAGGUCCCUAAAUCUUACUUAAGUGGAAAACGAUGUGAAGUUACUUAAACAACCAGGAGGUUGGCUUAGAAGCAGCCAUCCUUUAAAGAAAGCGUAAUAGCUCACUGGUCUAGUGAUUUUGCGCGGAAAAUAUAACGGGGCUAAAGUAAGUACCGAAGCUGUAGACUUGCACACAACUUAGAUUAUUUAAGUUUAGAAUAUGAGAAACUAAGUUAUAUGUUUAGUUAUAUUUUUACUGAUUUUUAUAGAGUAAAGAUAGAAAUAAAACUUAGUAAAAUCAGUAAAAAUAUUCUUAGGCUAAAGUUAAGUAGUUUAAGUUGUGUGCAAGUGGUAGGAGAGCGUUCUAUUUGCGUCGAAGGUAUACCGGUAAGGAGUGCUGGAGCGAAUAGAAGUGAGCAUGCAGGCAUGAGUAGCGAUAAUUAAUGUGAGAAUCAUUAACGCCGUAAACCCAAGGUUUCCUACGCGAUGCUCGUCAUCGUAGGGUUAGUCGGGUCCUAAGUCGAGUCCGAAAGGGGUAGACGAUGGCAAAUUGGUUAAUAUUCCAAUACCAACAUUAGUGUGCGAUGGAAGGACGCUUAGGGCUAAGGGGGCUAGCGGAUGGAAGUGCUAGUCUAAGGUUGUAGGAGGUUAUACAGGCAAAUCCGUAUAACAAUACUCCGAGAACUGAAAGGCUUUUUGAAGUCUUCGGAUGGAUAGAAGAACCCCUGAUGCCGUCGAGCCAAGAAAAGUUUCUAAGUUUAGCUAAUGUUGCCCGUACCGUAAACCGACACAGGUGGGUGGGAUGAGUAUUCUAAGGCGCGUGGAAGAACUCUCUUUAAGGAACUCUGCAAAAUAGCACCGUAUCUUCGGUAUAAGGUGUGGUUAGCUUCGUACUAGGAUUUACUCCGAAAGCGAAGAAACUUACAACAAAGAGUCCCUCCCGACUGUUUACCAAAAACACAGCACUCUGCUAACUCGUAAGAGGAUGUAUAGGGUGUGACGCCUGCCCGGUGCUCGAAGGUUAAUUGAUGGGGUUAGCAUUAGCGAAGCUCUUGAUCGAAGCCCGAGUAAACGGCGGCCGUAACUAUAACGGUCCUAAGGUAGCGAAAUUCCUUGUCGGUUAAAUACCGACCUGCAUGAAUGGCGUAACGAGAUGGGAGCUGUCUCAAAGAGGGAUCCAGUGAAAUUGUAGUGGAGGUGAAAAUUCCUCCUACCCGCGGCAAGACGGAAAGACCCCGUGGACCUUUACUACAGCUUGACACUGCUAUUUGGAUAAGAAUGUGCAGGAUAGGUGGGAGGCUUUGAGUAUAUGACGCCAGUUGUAUAUGAGCCAUUGUUGAGAUACCACUCUUUCUUAUUUGGGUAGCUAACCAGCUUGAGUUAUCCUCAAGUGGGACAAUGUCUGGUGGGUAGUUUGACUGGGGCGGUCGCCUCCCAAAUAAUAACGG
RNAcentral lists this ribosomal RNA (2454 nucleotides) under Campylobacter jejuni. RNAcentral describes it as "partial 23S ribosomal RNA". It matches the Rfam family "Bacterial large subunit ribosomal RNA", at positions 1 to 2303 of the family's 2925-position model. Lineage: Bacteria; Pseudomonadati; Campylobacterota; Epsilonproteobacteria; Campylobacterales; Campylobacteraceae. The record is from RNAcentral.